This 126-nucleotide small RNA is filed under the name Salmonella enterica subsp. enterica serovar Vancouver. RNAcentral describes it as "RtT sRNA". It matches the Rfam family "RtT RNA". From Rfam's summary of the family: This family represents a bacterial cis-regulatory element known as RtT RNA. The exact function of RtT is unknown although it is thought that it may be involved in changing the cellular response in relation to amino acid starvation. Lineage: Bacteria; Pseudomonadati; Pseudomonadota; Gammaproteobacteria; Enterobacterales; Enterobacteriaceae. The record is from RNAcentral.
UUGCUAUCUGCGAUAUGGAAGAUUCGAACCUGCCGCAGGUUCGGGUCGAACGCAGUGAGACAACGGAGCCGUUUACGGCGACGGCCCGUAGGGCGAGCGAAGCAAGUCAUCCUGCACGACCCACCA